This 483-nucleotide ribosomal RNA is filed under the name uncultured bacterium. RNAcentral describes it as "bacterial SSU rRNA". It matches the Rfam family "Bacterial small subunit ribosomal RNA", at positions 28 to 507 of the family's 1533-position model. The record is from RNAcentral.
GAUGAACGCUGGCGGCGUGCCUAACACAUGCAAGUCGAACGGAACUUUUACGGAUUGAGACUUCGGUUGAUUGAGGUUUAAGUUUAGUGGCGAACGGGUGAGUAACGCGUGAGAAACCUGCCUUUCAGUGGGGGACAACAGUUGGAAACGACUGCUAAUACCGCAUAACGUAUCGAGAGGGCAUCCUUUUGAUACCAAAGCUUUAUGUGCUGAAAGAUGGUCUCGCGUCUGAUUAGCUAGAUGGCGGGGUAACGGCCCACCAUGGCGACGAUCAGUAGCCGGUCUGAGAGGAUGAACGGCCACAUUGGGACUGAGAUACGGCCCAGACUCCUACGGGAGGCAGCAGUGGGGAAUAUUGGGCAAUGGGGGAAACCCUGACCCAGCAACGCCGCGUGAAGGAAGAAGGCCUUCGGGUUGUAAACUUCUUUUAGUAGGGACGAAUACGUGACGGUACCUACAGAAAAAGCAACGGCUAACUACGUG